This 253-nucleotide ribosomal RNA is filed under the name uncultured bacterium. Its description in RNAcentral is "partial 16S ribosomal RNA". It matches the Rfam family "Bacterial small subunit ribosomal RNA", at positions 524 to 776 of the family's 1533-position model. The record is from RNAcentral.
GACGUAGGGGACGAGCGUUGUCCGGAUUCAUUGGGCGUAAAGCGCGCGUAGGCGGCUGGGAAAGUCGGAUGUGAAAAUCCGGGGCUCAACCCCGGACCUGCAUCCGAUACUUCCUGGCUAGAGGUAGGUAGGGGAGAUCGGAAUUCCUGGUGUAGCGGUGAAAUGCGCAGAUAUCAGGAGGAACACCGGUGGCGAAGGCGGAUCUCUGGGCCUUACCUGACGCUGAGGCGCGAAAGCUAGGGGAGCGAACAGG